AGGAAAUGCAAUUUAUUUGCAAUUUUUUAAUAACAUCAUUCCUCAGAUAAAAAUGCAAUGUUACAGGAAUAUACAUCAGAUAUUAAUUUAAAACUUGCUUUCAAGGGACCAUACAGUCUAAAUAUACUUUUUCCUUUUUUAUUUACUUGUAGCGUGCGUUAUAAGCAAGACAGACUCUGUCACCAAUGACAGACUGACAAGUUACAGAUACAAACUGUACAUUACUUAUUUACAAAUCAACUUUUUGUUUGGUUUUUUCUUUCACUUUUUAUUGAAAAUAGGAGUAGAAAAAGUGAUUGAAUUAAUAUUCUGAUUUAUUUCAUUUGUAUUCUUUCCCUUUCUAAAAUCUAAAAUGAAAUGAAGGAGAAAAAAAAAUCAAGAUCUCUCUUUUAGAAAAAAAGCAGAACGAGAGGAAGAAAAAAUAAAAAGGUGUCAAUCUGAGAUCAUGUCACUUAGCAACCUCAGAACAAAUGAAAUUCCUCGCACAGUCGAGGGGGAGUGGCUUACGUUAAAGAAUUCAGUUACAAAAAAAGAAAAGAAAAAAAAUGGCCAUCUGCCUCCGAAGCUAUCAAGCACAAUAACACACUCUAGUUCAUUUUUCUGAUCGUAAAUAGUGCUGUUAUUAAAUACUACAUUUAACAGUAGCGUCACUACUAAUAUUACAAGGAAUUGGUCUUUGUGUGAUCACCUCUCUCCAAAAAAAUAAACUCAAGGAUUGACAACAGACGUCUCUCUGACAGAGAAGAACAAAAACAGCUCAGUCCUGUUAAUGGCCCUUUAACACUUUGCAUUAGUAGUGACGUACACGUAAGAUCAUACAGAGCAGCACAGCCCUGAUAUAUAAAUGAGGAACAGAAAGAAGGUAAACACUGUGCUGUACGUAGAGCUGUGGAUCUCUUGCCACUAAAUCAAGCUGGCCAAAAGCAGGGAAGUGCCUUCUUUGCUUAAAGAGAUGCUCCUGCUUCAGCAGUAAUGGAAGAAAACACUCGUGAUGCUCUCAAAUGGGCCCACUCAUCUAUUUAAAGCUGCAUCUGCACGCGCAGACACAUACAAGACCUCUAUGUUUCUAACUCAACCGAGGCCUUUUAUGUGUGUGCUGGUCAGAACAUUUCUCUUCCAUAAAUGGCUAUGUAGAAGGAAAAUCUACAAAUAUAAAGUGACUCCUCAGGUGUGAGUAAGAGCAUAUAACUGUAUCCUACAUUCACGGGGUGACUGGAGAAAUAGUUCUCAUCUGCGAUGCAAUGUUAAGUAGCUCUUGUCUGUAAAAUGAAGAGAGGAGAAGCAGAUACAGGCGGAGACAUUCGUGGUUCUAAUGAGGUGAAAGCUGUUCCAAAACCAGAACCGCUGACAGUCAAGUCUGCAUUGUAAAGCUGCUGCCACGCCUCUGAAGUAAUAUCCCAAAGAGAGUCGCGUUUGCUGCUACAGAAAGACUCGAUCUUAGUGUCAAAACUCAGUUCCAGGCAGGGCUCUCUGUGAUUUGGAAUGAAUGGGGGAUAACACACAAGGCCUUUGAGGUCCUGACGAAACAGUCAUACUAAAUAUUCACAUAAAAGGUGCUGUUGUAGGUGCCGCUAUACGAUGAGUGAAUUCUAGUCUAUACAUUAUUCCUAAACCCACUGGGCAAGCAAAUUUCAUCUAUCAGGUUCAGCUAUGAGCUUAGCAGCCCUGGAAAAAAGUCGCCACCAAUAUUUGAUGACUUAACGUGGUGCUAUGAGGGGAAAAAUGAAUAAAAUCAGCUGUUUGGGUGCUGCUUAAUAUGCAAAGAGCUGGCUAUGAAACUCAGCAGUGAUCACUUACUUAAAGCUAAAUCAAUCACUUCUACUUUGUUGAAGAUGUAUUGGUUUCAUUGAGCCAAACAGAUUAAAUACAACGUGUAAUGAUCAUGUAAUCCAAAUUUGUAGUUUUAAACAGGCUGCGUGUCCUUGAUCGCAUUUAGUCCAUCAAGGAGUGAAUGAAAUGCACCUCUGCCCCACUGCAUUUCCUUACCGACCUGUGAUGUUUCUUCGUAAGAUCACGUCUUUGCACGAGCAACAAACAGAUGAAGGUAAAUCUUCACACAAAAUUAGUCUCUCUCUCUCUUUUUUGAAUAAAUAAACUCACAGAAUGGCACCUGAAACCUGAUCAGGGUGUUUCUUUAAAUAAAACCAGAUUCUUUCAUCCAUCCCACAAGCUGCAACAACCUGCCCCGAACAGUCAUUUAAUAUCAUAUAAUAUAGCUAUAAUAUUCCUAUCAUUUAAUAUCUAAAAUAGAAGACAUGCAGUACAAAGUUGCAUGUAACAAUAUGUUCCCUCUUUCCGUUUCUGCCCUCUUUCCCAAAGCGCUCAUUAGCAUCGAAGUCAAAAUAACAUCUGAGGUGAUUCUCUUGAUGAUUUUAAUUCUACUCCUACGACAGCUGGCUAUUAUAAUUGUACCUGGAAAAUAAAAUACAAUUUAUAUUCAAAAUAGUCAUCUUAAAAUAUCUUUGUCGGCAUCAAACAGUGAUCAACAAACGCUUUGAUUUACAAGAAAAUAUAAUAUGCAUCUGCUGCAACAAUGAUAGAUCCACGUGAGGAGAUCUGAGUGACCGAGACGGGGAAAGAUUACAAGACUUCUGCUCUCCAGCCUCACACUCUCCGAACUGGCAAAGUUAAGGAUAAACACACAACUCUAAUACUUUUAAAAAGUGUGUAAAAUGCUAUUUUUUUGUUUCUUUAUUUUCAUUUUUUAAAUACUGAACAGAUUAAAAAUUUCUCAAUGUACAGCAGCUUUUCUCCGUAACGAUAAAAAUCAGUCUUGUCAUCCUUUUGUGGCUCCUCAGUGUCAAGAUUUCAUGAAGCAGUGACCAUGUUUGUAUUUCCAGGCUAAAUCCAACAGAUAACAUUGUUGGUGAAUAAAUAUGGGAAAACCAUGAAUUUCAUUUUGCGUUCUUUGAAAUAAACGGUCAAAUUGCUGCAGUCUGGAGCUUUUACUGUAAAUGCAGACAAAAGAUCUUAUCGAAUUAGUUCGCCAGGCGCAAAACUACUUGACUUCCUACUCUGCACACAACGCAGAUGAAUAAAUGACUCUACACAGACAUGUAGUUCAAGUCCUCCAAUAUCUUUUUUUGGAAGUAAAAGAAGAAAAAGAAAAGAGGCUACACGAUUUAAACGGCUCAAAAUAACCCAUAAAGAUAUCUAGUCCUUGGUAGGUGCCAUUUUUGGUUAGGUCUUUUAAAAAUGUACAGUGUGUAUAUGUUUUGCUGAUGUAGGACUACUUGAAGAGAGACACGUCUCUCAGUGCUACAGUAGGAGUAAUAACCAGACUCUGACCUGCACUUACAGGUUGCUGGUAGGAAAAGCUCCAUGGUCUAUUAUGAAACAUCCAUAAACGUCCAUAGCUUAAACAUUCAGUUUUCUUUUUCGGCGCUUACUUAUUUCCCGCUGCUUCCUUUUGCUUAAAAAAUACAUUAAAGUGGGAAUUCAUACUGACCUCCUGUCAGCAAGCCUAUAUAGAACAUUUCCAAUAUAAUAAGUGUCCUUCCUGUUCCUUAAUCUAACAUUCUGGCGAUUAAAUAUCAUAUGUUCAUAAAUAUUUUGCUAUAUAUGGUAUAUAAAAAUAUACAAUCAUUGGCUAGUGGUGAGACAAAAGAUAUCAUCAUUUAUAUAGGACCAAUAUUUUAUAUCCCUAUGCACAUUGAACAUUACUUAAAUGUAUUGUAUAAUCCACCAUGUCAGAUCACCCUCCAGAAAUCCAAACAUGAUGAAAUAAUCUCUGCAUUCAACAUUCUCAGGCCAAACGCCCACGUCUUCCCAUUGUCGUCGACCGCUGAAUAGAUUGUCACCCAUCUGUCAGGGACUAAGCCGUUCCCCUCUCCAGCUCUGCUUUCACUUGAGGAAAUUACUUCCAUUUGAACUGCACCCUUUGUGGCAGAGGGGCUUUGUUUACAGUUUAACUGGCUGCAGGUGGAGAUCCAGGAUGACUGCAGCUUAUCAGCCUGAUAAACCCGCUGCCAACUGUCUAUGUGGGAAAAGAGAGCACAAGUAUACAAAAAGACCCCCUCACACGUAGUGGAUUCAAGGUGGAAGAUGUGGCUAAUAAAUGAUAAGAGCUUCACAGACGCACGUUUGGUGCACGUUUACCACAAACUGAAAUGAGCCAUGACUAAAGGGGAUCCAUUAUGCUUGCUUAAUUAUUCUCAGAUGUUACCAGAGUAGCUUAGCAUGAUUUACGUUUUAAAAUAAUUCUUAUUUACUUUACACUGCGCUUUAGUGCAGCCUCUCUGUUCAUCUAUUAUCUGAGGUUUCUUCCUGUUGAAAGGAAGUUUUUCCUUCCUACUAUCGCCAAGUGCUUGCUCAGGGGUCAUUAACCUUUCAUUUUAGAAGAUACAACUCUUUGAUGUGGCUGCUGCUGUGAUUAAGCACUAUAUAAAUAUAAGUGAAAUGAGUUGAAACAAGCAACUUUAAACGUUUCAACUCCCUUUAAGGCAAAUUUCUAAGGUUCCAAGCACAGGUGGGCAGAGCUUUUGUGCUUAUGGCCAAAGAUAUGUGCCCGAAAUUACCAUUUUGGGAUAAUUUAUGCAUAUGUAUAUUUAUGUAGAGCCAACAUCUGAAAAAAAAAUUAUUUAGAUCAGUCAGAAGUUUUAGCUUUUGGCUCACACGGAAUACUCGUACAUACGCUAUUUGAAGCUUUAAAUAUGAGGAUAUUGUAACAGUAUACAGCUGACAGGAAUAUGAAAAAGCAUAUUAGGUCCCCAUCAAAGCAAAUGAUUAUACCUGAGCUUUUCCUGAUAAUCAGUCAGCUCUGUUCAAAGGGGCCCUCGCUGCAGGUUGGUACCAAUACCAUAUUACACACUGACUGUUUACAGCACAGCUACACACCAGUCUUUAUAGUAGAUUUGUUUGCAGGUUUUGUAUAAGAUUUUUUUCCAUUUGAGCUGAUACACAAAAAUUUGACCGAUACAGAACGGAAUUUUACUCAUGAUGAUGAGUGUUUAUAUGACCUGCAGCAUGAUAAAAGCCUAGUAAAUUAUUUGUGACUGGCACUGAAUAGUAAAAGUGUUAGAAUAUCAUCCUAUAGAGUAGAAACAUUUGAAUAUAUGCUGUGUAACUCCUGCCUGUCUAUCCUCAACCUGGAUUUAAAUCAAAGUCUGUCCCAGUAAUCAAUUUAAAAGUAAUAUGGUAACACAAAGCCUUAUUUACUGAAUUCGAGAGGAAAAAUAUUAAACUUUAUCAUUUGUCUGUUCUUAAAUAUCAUCUCGCUGUCCUCCUCAGGGUUAUGCAUCAGGAAAAUAAACUAAAAGCACAUAAGACACAAGAUAUGCAAAAUCACCUUCCGUGGACUCUUCAACCGCUGUCCAGUCAGUUCUGAAGAAGAAAUACUGCUUUUAAUCAUUUUAUGUACACUAAAUAGUCAUAUUUAACCUGAAUCAAACAAAACAACUGCAAAACCCGGAACGCUCAAAUGUCAACACGUGAACCUCAUGCAAUGUUUACACCCAAGAAGCUUAGAUCUUACAAAAAAAAAGAAAAAAAAAGGGGAAAUAAGCAACAUAAAAAGAUACAGUCAGAAAGUAGCAACCUGGGGAAAUAUGGUCAGUCGCUUUUGUUGCGUCUCCACUGACCUUCAGGUCACUGCCUCAAAAAAAACAAAAACAAAAAAGAACAUGCACCCUGCGACGAGAAUGAAAAAUAAAUACAUCUGCACUAUACCGCACUGCAAUGUACCUGAUUUCAAGUAUGUUAGGUUUUCUGGCAUGGAAACCACCAAGGUGACUUAAAAACAUAACAAACAGAAAAUAAUACAGCUUCAUGAUACUGUGUUGUUGUUUUUUUCUUCACUUUCACAAACAUAUUUACUUCAGGAUCCUUGUAUACAGUCAUAGUUAUUGCAUUGUUUUUGCAUAUCUUGUGGGUUGCAAAAUUACACCCACUCAUACCGUUACACUGCAACACAACGUCUCGUGCUAUUCUAUGUGGGACAUAAAAACGGCAAUGCUGCUCCACUCCACACGGGGGCACUACAGCUCUCUUGAUUCUGAAAUCACACUCACCAAGCCUGGAUGGUACUUCGGAUUUCCAGGGUUACUUUGUGUAUUUAUCUAUAUGCUAAAAUUUAUAAGGAACACAAAAGUAAAGUGAAUUAUUUAUCAGCUGGAGAUGGUCCUGGACUGUUUAUAAUCUGCUCUGCAACCUUGUGGAAAUGUUCCUAUCCUAAAUGUGUCUUGGUUGAACAAUUUCAGGCAAUACUGUCAUUCACUACUGGUUUCCACAUUCAUGGUUGUUGAUAUAUUAGCUGAUAAAACAGCAAUAGUAAUAGUAGAAAGCUGAUGGCUCCACUGCAGCAGCACAGCUAGAACCAUUGACUUUUAAACUCAGGGUUAACUAAACUUCAACUUGACGAACUGAACAAAGAUUGGUGCUACUUUUCAGGUAUUAACAUCCUUGACUUUACCCAGAUCUGCAGCUUAUACCAAAACUAGCCACCAAAGGGUCCUGUCAGCUUAUGCCAGAAAAUUAUUAUUUUUUAAGAGGUGCUUUUACAAUAAUUCAAAAAAAAAAAAAAAAAUGUUGACAGUAUCUUUAUGAAGGCAAAUGUUUUUUUUUUUUUUGGGGGGGGGGUAAGUUAGGAGGGUUAAUUCCUUUUGACAAAACAGACUUUUUCAGAGUUUGCAGUGUCAUAACCACAAAACAACAUCAUCACUGCCACUAGAACAUACUCAACAUUCACAUUUAGUUUGCAUAAUAAUGUCAGAAGUCUGGUACUGGCACAGGACGCAGUGUAUGGCAGUGUGUCCAUGCAUACCCCCCUUCCCUGCCACAAAGCUGCUCUGCUUAACAUGAAGGAAUUAGAGCUCGACAGUAAGUCCUUAAUGGUAAAUUAAAGAGAAACGAAUGGCCGUAAGUUAAGACAUACGAGUGUCUCUAGGUGGUCGUUCAACAUCACUGAUGACUUGAAAUGGCAAAGGCUUUUGCAGUGUAUUCGAAUUUUUCUUGGAAUUAACUAGAGAAACUUGUGAUUUAGGUUUAAAAUGACUCAUUAAUGUUAUAACCAAAACAUGAAGAUGCACUGUUCGGUGACUUUUGGUAUUCUCCUAGUGUACUUUGCUUUUUGAAAGUGCUGUUAACACCAAUUAGGUUUCUCCCUAUUUGAGAGGCCAUUGGCAACCUGUAUUUAAGGGACUUACAGUGUAGGUGGAAGAUGCCUAGUUUUUGGAAAAUAAAACUGAUAAUAAGCUUCAUCUUUGUCCCUCUGGGACUCAAUUUCCCUCUUGGAUUAAUAAAGUUUCUCUGAUUCUGAAAUAUUUAAGAGUGAAUUUCAUGAAUCUGUUCCCCUUUUAUUCCUUACCUGCACACAUUCUGCAUAUUUAUCGAUUUCACUUUUAAAUACUAUUAAAUUGUAGAAAUAAUAAUAAUGAUAAUAAUACAUGUGGCAGUUGGUACCAAUGAGGUGAUUUUGAUGUCAGGAAUGCUUUUGGAGACGGUACAGUACCGAAGUGAGACCUGUGCCCUGUGUAAAAUGCUGAGGCUUGAAUGAAAUACCUUGCAGUGGUCGUACUUUCAGUGUAUUCAAACUAUACCCAAGGAACGAGUUAAAAAAGAACGAUCCAUCAAAAAAUUUCAGGCUACUUAUAAAGAAAAAAAGUAGCUUAGGAUACAAUUUCCAUCCAAAAUGUAAGCUUUGUGAUUUCUAUCUAAUAAUUUAUCACGUUAACCAAACAAUUAUCAUCUUAUAAUUAUCAGUAAAAUUUCCUGCUUGUAUGCUAAUUUUUCAGCAAACUGUUUUUACCAGUAAAUCAUAAAUAUCACAAACAGGAAGUCGGUUUUAUCUCUGAAACCAUCCCUGAUAAAAAAAUACAUUUUAUGAUACGAGCCUCAUAUAAAGACGUGUGAUUCAGAAGUCUUGCAGCAUCUGUACACCAGCCCUAAAAGUUAAUUUGGAGUUUAAACUCAAACGGUCGUGUAAUGUGUGAUACGCGGGGGACCAUCCCCACUCUGAGUUCCUUUACGAGUUGUCACUGUGCCGCUAUGAAUAAGGGGGCUUUCUAAAAUUCAGAGCAACAACCGCCAUGAUUAAGAAAAACAGCAACUUGCCAAAAGGCUUCUUACCGUCUGGAAAAACUGCAAUGCCUGAAAGAUCUAUAAUUCACUCUGACCUUGCUGGAGACCUUACAGUUAAGUACCUCUGAGUGGGGAAAUAAAGAAAAGUUAUGCAAAAACUAGUUGUUGAAGACAGAGCAGCUUCUGAGUCUGCAGCUUGGCUAAAAAGUAAAAAUCUUGCUAACAAAAUCACAAAGCUUUGGAAGCAUGCCUGUCCAUGGUAACCCUGUGUUAAGGAGGCCCAUUAUCACACAUACGUGCACGUCCCCACACACACACACACACCCUCACGUACAUACACACAAACAAGACCAUACUUGUAAUGCUACCUUAAUUUACUGUCUAGGCUUAAAAUCAGCUUUUAGAAUACACAGGUAAAUCAGUCAAACACACACACACACACACACACACACACACACGCACACAUUUUUUCUCUUCUGGGAAAAAAAUAAAUAAAUAAAUAGAUACAAUCUGUAAAAGGUGCAUACUGAUAGAGAG
Long non-coding RNA from Oreochromis aureus, 8553 nucleotides. The record is from Ensembl. Lineage: Eukaryota; Metazoa; Chordata; Actinopteri; Cichliformes; Cichlidae.